RNAcentral lists this ribosomal RNA (253 nucleotides) under uncultured bacterium. RNAcentral describes it as "partial 16S ribosomal RNA". It matches the Rfam family "Bacterial small subunit ribosomal RNA", at positions 524 to 776 of the family's 1533-position model. The record is from RNAcentral.
UACAGAGGGGGCAAGCGUUAUUCGGAAUUAUUGGGCGUAAAGGGCGCGUAGGCGGCCUGGCAAGUGGAAGGUGAAAUCCCUCGGCUUAACCGAGGAACUGCCCUCCAAACUGCUUGGCUUGAGUCCGGGAGAGGUGAGUGGAAUUCCCAGUGUAGCGGUGAAAUGCGUAGAUAUUGGGAAGAACACCGGUGGCGAAGGCGGCUCACUGGACCGAUACUGACGCUGAGGCGCGAAAGCGUGGGGAGCAAACAGG